GGAGAGAUGGUUCAAUGGUUAAGAGCAUUGGUUGCUCUUCCAAAGGAUCUGGGUUCAAUUCCCAGCACCUACA
Molecule: non-coding RNA, 73 nt
Organism: Cricetulus griseus (Chinese hamster)
Lineage: Eukaryota; Metazoa; Chordata; Mammalia; Rodentia; Cricetidae
Source: Rfam